GAGGGUGUAGUUCAGUGGUAGAGUGCAUGCUUAGCAUGCAUGAAGUCCUGGGUUCAAUCCCCAGGACCUCCA
This 72-nucleotide transfer RNA is filed under the name Camelus bactrianus (Bactrian camel). It matches the Rfam family "tRNA". Rfam says of the family: Transfer RNA (tRNA) molecules are approximately 80 nucleotides in length. Their secondary structure includes four short double-helical elements and three loops (D, anti-codon, and T loops). The record is from Rfam by way of RNAcentral. RNAcentral also lists the same sequence under 2 other names. Lineage: Eukaryota; Metazoa; Chordata; Mammalia; Artiodactyla; Camelidae.